AUCUAGGAUCCCAAUGCUGAGGGUCUAACUAAAAAGAUCUGAGGAGACCUUCCUAGCCCUGGAAGAGCAUUUUCUUGUUUAUUGGCAAAGCUGUCACCAUUUAAUCGGUAUCAGAUUCUGACUUGCACAAGUAACAUUC
Eptesicus fuscus (big brown bat) is the source of this 139-nucleotide small nucleolar RNA. RefSeq annotates it as small nucleolar RNA SNORA24. NCBI's taxonomy places the organism in Eukaryota, Metazoa, Chordata, Mammalia, Chiroptera, Vespertilionidae. The transcript has a single exon. The record is from RefSeq and is a predicted model, not a curated record.